RNAcentral lists this ribosomal RNA (262 nucleotides) under uncultured archaeon. RNAcentral describes it as "partial 16S ribosomal RNA". It matches the Rfam family "Archaeal small subunit ribosomal RNA", at positions 748 to 1008 of the family's 1478-position model. The record is from RNAcentral.
CAGCCAUAAACUAUGCGCGUUAGGUGUACUGGUGACCACGAGUCACCGGGGUGCCGAAGGGAAACCGUGAAACGUGCCGCCUGGGAAGUACGGUCGCAAGGCUGAAACUUAAAGGAAUUGGCGGGGGGAGCACCACAACGGGUGGAGCCUGCGGUUUAAUUGGACUCAACGCCGGGAAGCUCACCGGAUAGGACAGCAGAAUGAUUGCCGGGCUGAAGACCCUGCAUGACUAGCUGAGAGGAGGUGCAUGGCGUCAGUGACU